AGAGUUUGAUCCUGGCUCAGGACGAACGCUGGCGGCGUGCUUAACACAUGCAAGUCGAACGAUGAACCACUUCGGUGGGGAUUAGUGGCGAACGGGUGAGUAACACGUGGGCAAUCUGCCCUUCACUCUGGGACAAGCCCUGGAAACGGGGUCUAAUACCGGAUACCACUCCUGCUCGCAUGGGCGGGGGUUGAAAGCUCCGGCGGUGAAGGAUGAGCCCGCGGCCUAUCAGCUUGUUGGUGAGGUAACGGCUCACCAAGGCGACGACGGGUAGCCGGCCUGAGAGGGCGACCGGCCACACUGGGACUGAGACACGGCCCAGACUCCUACGGGAGGCAGCAGUGGGGAAUAUUGCACAAUGGGCGCAAGCCUGAUGCAGCGACGCCGCGUGAGGGAUGACGGCCUUCGGGUUGUAAACCUCUUUCAGCAGGGAAGAAGCGCAAGUGACGGUACCUGCAGAAGAAGCGCCGGCUAACUACGUGCCAGCAGCCGCGGUAAUAC
This 501-nucleotide ribosomal RNA is filed under the name uncultured bacterium. RNAcentral describes it as "bacterial SSU rRNA". It matches the Rfam family "Bacterial small subunit ribosomal RNA", at positions 8 to 526 of the family's 1533-position model. The record is from RNAcentral.